Molecule: ribosomal RNA, 496 nt
Filed under: uncultured bacterium
Lineage: Bacteria
Description: partial 16S ribosomal RNA
Rfam family: Bacterial small subunit ribosomal RNA
Source: RNAcentral
GAUGAACGCUGGCGGCGUGCCUAAUCCUUCCAGUUCGGGCGAACAGCCAAGAACUUUGCUCCUCUACCUUAAGCGCCGGCCGGUUGGUUACCCCUUGGAAAACCUCCUUAUAAGCCUGGGUAAACUUCGGAAACCCGGGCCAAUUCCGGAUAAAUUUAUGAACCCCAAUGGUUCAUUGUUAAAAGAGGGUUUUCCGUUACUUAUUAAUUGAACCGCGCCGCAUUAGCUAGUUGGUAAGGUAACGGCUUACCAAGGCAACGAUGCGUAGCCAACCUGAGAGGGUGAUCGGCCACACUGGAACUGAGACACGGUCCAGACUCCUACGGGAGGCAGCAGUAGGGAAUCUUCCGCAAUGGGCGAAAGCCUGACGGAGCAACGCCGCGUGAGUGAUGAAGGUCUUCGGAUCGUAAAACUCUGUUAUUAGGGAAGAACAAAUGUGUAAGUAACUAUGCACGUCUUGACGGUACCUAAUCAGAAAGCCACGGCUAACUACGUG